GGGCCGCUAGCUCAAUUGGCAGAGCUGAGGACUUUUAAUCCUUAGGUUCUGGGUUCGAGUCCCAGGCGGCCCACCA
RNAcentral lists this transfer RNA (76 nucleotides) under Micromonospora tulbaghiae. RNAcentral describes it as "tRNA-Lys". It matches the Rfam family "tRNA". Rfam says of the family: Transfer RNA (tRNA) molecules are approximately 80 nucleotides in length. Their secondary structure includes four short double-helical elements and three loops (D, anti-codon, and T loops). The record is from RNAcentral. Lineage: Bacteria; Bacillati; Actinomycetota; Actinomycetes; Micromonosporales; Micromonosporaceae.